UAUAUAUUAGUGUAAAUAGCACAAAAAGUUUUGAUCUUUUAAGAAUUGGUGGAAUUCCAUUAUACAUAA
This 69-nucleotide transfer RNA is filed under the name Astacus astacus (noble crayfish). Its description in RNAcentral is "tRNA-Gln". The record is from RNAcentral. Lineage: Eukaryota; Metazoa; Arthropoda; Malacostraca; Decapoda; Astacidae.